CUCUUAUCCAUUUCCGCUUCGGUUGCGUAGGCACCCAGCGGCGGCCGCCGGCUUCCCGUGGUGCUCACCAACAGGAUCUCACGAUGUUGUCCACGACUCGCGGGCACUGCGUGCAUCUCAUCCGGCCACGGUUACAACAAUGAAGUCGGGCGGCCGGGCGUCCCGCCAACAAAUGGGUGAUGCAGCCAGUCGACGGCUCCAUGAUGAAGAGGAGAUGCAAGCAGCCGCCGGUGGCCAGAGGUACGAUAUGAAGUCGACAUGGAAUCAUGGACGGCGGCGCGGCCACGCGUGGUUAAGCAAAUUCAGGUUAAGCGACUUCAUGCAUGCACGAUGGCCGUGCAGUCCAGCUUUCCUCGCAUCAAUCUCCUCUUCUGCCGAUCGUCUAACAUGGAUGAAGAAAGGAACGUGUUGUCACAUGCAAAGGAAAAUCAAUCUGCAUCCAACUAUCAAUAUGUAUAUACUUCUUUAUGGAGAUAUACUUCUUUUU
Molecule: long non-coding RNA, 487 nt
Organism: Triticum aestivum (bread wheat)
Lineage: Eukaryota; Viridiplantae; Streptophyta; Magnoliopsida; Poales; Poaceae
Exons: 2
Source: RefSeq, a predicted model, not a curated record